GGGGUUGUGACUCAGUGGUAGAGCGCUCAUCUAGCACUUGCGAGGCCCUGGGUUUGAUCCUCAGCACCACA
RNAcentral lists this transfer RNA (71 nucleotides) under Marmota monax (woodchuck). RNAcentral describes it as "tRNA.Ala". Lineage: Eukaryota; Metazoa; Chordata; Mammalia; Rodentia; Sciuridae. The record is from RNAcentral.